GACGAACGCUGGCGGCGUGCCUAACACAUGCAAGUCAACUUGACGGAAGGAGCAAUCUGACCGUAGAGUGGCGCAAGGGUGCGUAACGCGUAAGUAACUUGCCCAAGGUAAGGAAUAACGUCGAGAAAUCGGCGCUAAUACCUCAUAAUGCAGCGGAUCCGCAUGGAUAUGUUGUUAAAGGUUUACCGCCUUGGGGAUAGGCUUGCGUCUGAUUAGCUAGUUGGUGUGGUAACGGCACGCCAAGGCUACGAUCAGUAACUGGUCUGAGAGGAUGAUCAGUCACACUGGAACUGAGACACGGUCCAGACUCCUACGGGAGGCAGCAGUGAGGAAUAUUGGGCAAUGCUCGAAAGAGUGACCCAGCAACGCCGCGUGGAGAUGAAGGUAUUCUAUAUCGUAAACUCCUGUGAGAGCAGACGAAAGCAGAUUAUUAAUCUGG
This 439-nucleotide ribosomal RNA is filed under the name uncultured bacterium. Its description in RNAcentral is "bacterial SSU rRNA". It matches the Rfam family "Bacterial small subunit ribosomal RNA", at positions 28 to 468 of the family's 1533-position model. The record is from RNAcentral.